CGCGGUAAUACGUAGGUGGCAAGCGUUGUCCGGGAUUUACUGGGCGUAAAGGAUGUGUAGGCGGAUACUUAAGUGAGAUGUGAAAGCCCCGGGCUUAACCUGGGGACUGCAUUUCAAACUGGGUAUCUAGAGUGCAGGAGAGGAAAGCGGAAUUCCUAGUGUAGCGGUGAAAUGCGUAGAGAUUAGGAAGAACAUCAGUGGCGAAGGCGGCUUUCUGGACUGUAACUGACGCUGAGGCAUGAAAGCGUGGGGAGCAAACAGGAUUAGAUACCCUGGUAGUCCACGCCGUAAACGAUGAGUACUAGGUGUAGGAGGUAUCGACUCCUUCUGUGCCGCAGUUAACACAAUAAGUACUCCGCCUGGGAAGUACGGUCGCAAGAUUAAAACUCAAAGGAAUUGACGGGGGCCCGCACAAGCAGCGGAGCAUGUGGUUUAAUUCGAAGCAACGCGAAGAACCUUACCUAGACUUGACAUCUCCUGAAUAGCGUAGAGAUACGUGAAGCCCUUCGGGGCAGGAAGACAGGUGGUGCAUGGUUGUCGUCAGCUCGUGUCGUGAGAUGUUGGGUUAAGUCCCGCAACGAGCGCAACCCUUAUCAUUAGUUGCUACCAUUAAGUUGAGCACUCUAGUGAGACUGCCCGGGUUAACCGGGAGGAAGGCGGGGAUGACGUCAAAUCAUCAUGCCCCUUAUGUCUAGGGCUACACACGUGCUACAAUGGUGAGAACAACGAGAUGCAAUACCGCGAGGUGGAGCCAAACUUGAAAACUCAUCCCAGUUCGGAUUGCAGGCUGAAAUUCGCCUACAUGAAGUUGGAGUUGCUAGUAAUCACGAAUCAGAAUGUCGCGGUGAAUACGUUCCCGGGCCUUGUACACACCGCCCGUCACACCAUGAGAGCUGGUAACACCCGAAGU
RNAcentral lists this ribosomal RNA (910 nucleotides) under uncultured bacterium. RNAcentral describes it as "bacterial SSU rRNA". It matches the Rfam family "Bacterial small subunit ribosomal RNA", at positions 516 to 1427 of the family's 1533-position model. The record is from RNAcentral.